UACCUUCGGCAGAGUUCUUGGUUGCCAUUGAAACCUUGCGCAUGACCUAAUCUCCAAGUCUGAAGGCACGGGGCAGCACACAAGAGUUGUAGUACUUGGCAACACAUUGCUUGUAAGCAAACUUGCACAUGUUGGCCUGGUCACAAAGCUCUCAAUGAGGUCUAGGUUUAGAGCCAGCUGCUCGUCGUUAGCUCCAGCGUCAAAUCCUGAUUUUCGGUAGGAAGGCUGGCCAAUUUCCAUUGGUACAACAGCUUCAGUACCAAAGUGGUUACUUUUUUAUUUAGGCACUAUUCCUCUUUAAUAGAGAAAUGCAAGUGGGAGUUUGGGCAAAUUUUUGAUGUGGGACUUUGUUCAAACCAUUGAGGUGGUGCCACGUGUCCAAGACUUAGGUUCUAUACUUCAAGAGCUUUGUCCAUCGCCUUCGGUAGGCAAUUUCCGUAUCGGAGGAAAGUGUCUCUUAGGCAGGCUGGGAUCAUGAUGAUGUCAUCAGUGUUUUAGGGAUUGGCUUAGAAGUGUUUUACCUUUAGCAAGUUGUGGGUCUGUCUACAUGCUAGUCUCCUAGUGUCGAAUGUGCUCGAUUGAUUAUGGUACAAACAAUAAUUCUAACAUAUAUCUCAUGCUCACAAGUUUACAUUAAUGUUUAUAACCAAGUGUCUUAUUAAUUACAUAGUCUUUAAAUAAUUCUUGAUGAAACUCAUCUUCUACCAUUUUUGUGGAAUAUGAAUUCCAUGAUCUAUAUGAACUAUUCUUCACAACCUGAAAUUGAAGAGAGAACAACUGAACCGACUAAGAGAUUUUGAAGAGUUAGAGUUCUUGGACUUAGGUCACAUUACCUUUGUUAGUUGCAGGUGUUGGCUAUUUAUAUUGUUUCUUUUUAGCAUGGUUGUUCCUAAGCGUUUGUCAAUUGGUUGGUUGAUCUCAUUAUGGUACCAAUCAUGCCGAUUAGUAGUUUGGUUUAGAAUAGGGGAUCGUUAUCUAAUUGAUGAAUAACGUGUAUCCAGGGAUUACCAUUUGGCCCACGGCUCAUGGGGCGAAGUUAGUAAUCCGAGGUCCGAUGGACAAAAGUCUGGCCCGGCCCUUUAUUUGGGCCCGCUCUAAGAUUGGAUAGGGCUUGGGCCAACAAUUUGAAACCUUGGCCAUGAAUUCUAGGCCUGACUCGAUUAAGUCCGAAUAGGGCCAACCCGGCACGACCACAAAUAUAAUAAUUCUCUCAAAUUUCAAGCUCCAAUUUCUCAAUCUCUCUAAAUCCUCAUUUCUUUGGCGGUGAUGCGCUCAUUCUUUUAGUUUCUCAAAUUUCAAGCUCCAAUUUUUUCAGUCUCUCUAAGUUCUCAUCCUUCGUGGUGGUUGGUGAUCUCAUUCCUUUGUAAUAUAAAAUUAUAAAAGAUUUAGAAAAAAUAAAAAUAUAAGUAAACAAAAGAAAAAAAAAGGCCCGACUCGUCUAGGUCCAUGGGCAGCCCCGGACGGUGACAUUUGAAACCUUGGCCAGGCCCAGCGCAACCCAAAAAUUUUUCAAAAAAAAAAAAAAAACCCAUAAGGCUCGUCCCAGCCCGACCCAAUGAUGAACCGUAACUAAGACACAUACAACAAUGUGGAAAACCAAUUAUUGAACACUUUGCAAUUAGCUCUCUUAAUUUCUUCAUUCAGUUCUCAAGGCCUCGCUUGUUUGAGCCCGUCUAGGGCCGACUCGGUUAAUAUUUGAAACAUGCUCUAGUGUAAGAGAACCAAAACAACAUAAGAAUUUCUAAUUCAUGACUCAAACUAAGAUCACCAUCUCGCCUACGGCCCAUUGUUCGAAGUCGGUAGUACGAGACAUGAUCCAAAGCUCAACCCUGCCCGUUGUUUAGGCACGUUCGGCCCAUCCCGCUCUAAGAUUGGAUAGGGCUUGGGCUAAGGGUUUGAAAUCUUAGUUAGGCUCGUAACCCGAGCCUAGUUAAG
RNAcentral lists this long non-coding RNA (1935 nucleotides) under Prunus persica (peach). RNAcentral's name for it is "long non-coding RNA (PPER_LNC003449)". Lineage: Eukaryota; Viridiplantae; Streptophyta; Magnoliopsida; Rosales; Rosaceae. The record is from RNAcentral.